GACAGAGGAUGCAAGCGUUAUCCGGAAUGAUUGGGCGUAAAGCGUCUGUAGGUGGCUUUUCAAGUCCGCCAUCAAAUCCCAGGGCUCAACCCUGGACAGGCGGUGGAAACUACCAAGCUGGAGUACGGUAGGGGCAAAGGGAAUUUCCGGUGGAGCGGUGAAAUGCAUUGAGAUCGGAAAGAACACCAACGGCGAAAGCACUCUGCUGGGCCGACACUGACACUUAGAGACAAAAGCUAGGGGAGCAAAUGGG
This 253-nucleotide ribosomal RNA is filed under the name uncultured bacterium. Its description in RNAcentral is "partial 16S ribosomal RNA". It matches the Rfam family "Bacterial small subunit ribosomal RNA", at positions 524 to 776 of the family's 1533-position model. The record is from RNAcentral.